RNAcentral lists this ribosomal RNA (253 nucleotides) under uncultured bacterium. Its description in RNAcentral is "partial 16S ribosomal RNA". It matches the Rfam family "Bacterial small subunit ribosomal RNA", at positions 524 to 776 of the family's 1533-position model. The record is from RNAcentral.
UACAGAGGGGGCAAGCGUUAUUCGGAAUUAUUGGGCGUAAAGGGCGCGUAGGCGGCCUGGCAAGUGGAAGGUGAAAUCCCUCGGCUUAACCGAGGAACUGCCUCCCAAACUGCUUGGCUUGAGACCGGGAGAGGUGAGUGGAAUUCCCAGUGUAGCGGUGAAAUGCGUAGAUAUUGGGAGGAACACCAGUGGCGAAGGCGGCUCACUGGACCGGUACUGACGCUGAUGCGCGAAAGCCAAGGGAGCAAACAGG